CAUUGCUUGUGAAGGUUCUUUUCUCAUCGCCGGCCCAGGACAUCUCCCCUUCCUACCCUACAUCGACCGCAGCUGGUCUGCGACACCCAGAUUCCCCAGACUCAUUGCUCCAGCACUGCAGGAAUGGAGUCCUGCAAAUGAACCUCACCUGGUCCAGGUGUUUCCGGGGCUCAGGAAUCCAAGGGCCUCCAGAGCCCCAGUGGAGCGGUAGGAAAAGAACCGAAGAUUCCUGAAACAUGACUUAAAACAUGGAUGUAUCUGGCCAGCCUGUUCUGAAAGGUUGAAGUUUCACACUGGCCCCACUCUACCCUUCUCCUGGACCUUUUAAAGAGCUGCCGUUGUUAGGUUUCCUGACUAGAAUAUAAAUAACAGCCAGCGUUAUU
This is a non-coding RNA of Heterocephalus glaber (naked mole-rat), 383 nucleotides long. The record is from RefSeq and is a predicted model, not a curated record. Lineage: Eukaryota; Metazoa; Chordata; Mammalia; Rodentia; Bathyergidae.